This is a transfer RNA of Colletotrichum incanum, 97 nucleotides long. It matches the Rfam family "tRNA". Rfam says of the family: Transfer RNA (tRNA) molecules are approximately 80 nucleotides in length. Their secondary structure includes four short double-helical elements and three loops (D, anti-codon, and T loops). The record is from Rfam. NCBI's taxonomy places the organism in Eukaryota, Fungi, Ascomycota, Sordariomycetes, Glomerellales, Glomerellaceae.
GGUCUGGUGGUGUAGUUGGUUAUCACGUCAGUCUAACAGUUCGGGUCCUCUCGACUGGGCACACUGAAGGUCUCCGGUUCAAGUCCGGGCUAGAUCA